AAGUGGGACGCCAGUGGAAGCCCAGGUGACCACCGCAUCGGCUGCAGAAGACACGCUUCGAUUUCAGGCGACUUUGCAGACAGGAAUAGACGAACGUCAAAGCAAAGAUGGGAAAGCAACUGAAAGGAGAUUUAAACGAAUGUUAAUCCAUGGACUUAGAUUCCUUUCCGAAUUCCGAAGUUUCCUACCAGGAUAAAGUGGACAAGAGGCAACUGAGCUGGCCCAGUGCUCCUGUCAUCUCCACGGUUUCCGUUUUCGAAUUCUGCUGGCACAAUGGACACCGCACCUGGUAGCUGCUGGGUCCGAUGCUGAAGAAUCGCACCUGGGGUUUGCUAGGGCGCUCCUCCAGCGUGACAGUGGUGGCCGCCGACUGGCUAUCCCUGUCCCCCUCCUGGAGAUCCACCUCCAGAUCCGCAUCCAAGUCGUUUCCCCGAGACAUUGCGACUGGCCGGCGUCAAGUGCUAAACAUUUUGGCGAAUCCCGAGGCAGUGAAAUUCGAAAAAGAGAUCUAUCUGACCAAAGAGAUCUAAUUGAAGAGAAACCACUGAGAGAAUCAUGCAGCAAUCAACAAUUUUUUGGCACUCGGCUCUUCAGUCUCAGCAGCGCUCAUCACUCGCCGCAAGGUCAACAAAAAGUGCUUAAAAACUAAACAAAACAAACAAUUAUAAGCGGAGCACCCACUCCGUUUGCCCCAACCCACGACCCCCAUCCCUUCAUCUCACUGUCUUUUCCAUGCCCCCAAGAGGUAACCACACUUGCCGCAGAUGACCUUGCAAUCGUUGGUGGAGCGCCUCGGGCAGCAGGGAUAGAUGGGCAGCAGGGCAAAGCAGCUGGAAAUGGAUAAGGAAAUAAUCUGAAUUAG
Molecule: non-coding RNA, 862 nt
Organism: Drosophila melanogaster (fruit fly)
Lineage: Eukaryota; Metazoa; Arthropoda; Insecta; Diptera; Drosophilidae
Source: Ensembl